ACAAAUAAACAUCUUUGAAAAAAUAUUAUGACAAAUAAUUUCCACACAAGGAAAGAGGGGUUGAGAAUGUAUAGAAUACACCUUAAUGGAGCACAUAAAAAACAGGAUGCAUAAAGUUCUCGAAAGGGUGUCUUUAGAAUUAAUAUAUUAGAUAGAAUGCAGAUCAUUGAAAUAUGAAGCAAAGCUCCAAGCAGAAAAAUGUUGAGGACAUAUAAAUAACAUAACUAGAGCCACUCUAGGGAGAUUAGAUAACUCAGCAAGAGUAAGGCAGAAUAGGCAAUGACUUAAAUGAACAUGCUAGCCAAGUAGUAACAAGUGUAAGCAUGCUAAUUACACAAAAGCAAAGUUUAGGCAUGCUAGAUGAACAGUAGUCAGUCAAACAGGCUAGUUACACACAUAAGACAUGUUAAACUAGAU
RNAcentral lists this long non-coding RNA (417 nucleotides) under Nicotiana benthamiana. RNAcentral describes it as "long non-coding RNA (NBEN_LNC039752)". Lineage: Eukaryota; Viridiplantae; Streptophyta; Magnoliopsida; Solanales; Solanaceae. The record is from RNAcentral.